GAUUAAGCUAUAGACAGUGAGAGAAUGGAAGCCCAAAGGUGCGAUGCCUAGGUAUGCAAGGAGAGGGAUUCACAAGCCCUCUCUUCCUCAAUGGCGAUCGCGGCCUCACCCUACUGGUUCUCUCUCCACUCUUCUACCGGCGCAUCUUGCUAUUAUCUCUUCUCCGAACGCCUGUCGUUCCUAAAUCCAUAGAACGAAUCGCAAAGUGCGGAGUUGAGCAAUUUGGUAGCUUGCAAGGCCAUCACCUUGAGAUCACGGAGUUCUGAAGAGGCAUCAUCAUUGCACUUGGGAUUAUGAAAAGCUUGUAAGAACUCUGGUGUCCUUUUUUAUCCUUGGUGGAGCUGCUUAGCCUUCUGGUGUUUGCUUGCAGCAGUUGUGUGCUAGCUGUUUGUUGAGUUGUUGACACAACCUACUGCAUUAACUUCUAUUUUUCAAUUGAAAACUUCUGCAUAGUUGGAUUUCAGUGGUUGCUUAGUUUUUUAUGGGAUCUGAAGAGUCACUAUACCUGCACUUGGAAAUAUUAAGGCUUGUCAGUCAUAUUGUCCAUUUUGUGGGUGGUGGAGCUUCUGCUCGCUCUUUGCUUCCUGGUGUUUGCUGGCAGCAGUUCUCUGUUUGCUGGUAAUGCUUUCCUUUUCUGGAGCAUGCUCCCUAGUCCGUACUUUUUGGGUGAUGUGUAUUCUACAGUUUCUACUUUCAGACUGUAAACAGUUGCCAACUAAUUUUACCCAACUGCUUGUACAGUUAGCAACAAAACAGAACUAGUUCAUUGAAUAUUUCUUUGUGUACUAACUUUUUUAUUGCAUUUUUUCUUUUCUGCUCUUCAUUCUAGAUGCAAUGGAGCAGACUAUCGCUAAAAUAAGUGGGACUUAAAAUACCUCAAGUUUUGCUGUUGCCAUGUGUCAUUUACAUACAUACACAUACACAUACAUAUAUAUAUACAGUAGAUCUCCUUUUGUCAUAUUUGUGCGUGUCUUUAUAAUGAUUGUCUUAUUAUAUUUGGUGCUGGAGGCAUCAUCUUUUUGGUGCAUGCGUAUUGAUAUUCUAUUUUAAGAUGAUCCUUCGUCAUUGUUGGGGUGGGGCCCUGGGGCUGGUCUUACAAUUUUGUAUUUUGAUCACGGAAUAACCAUGGAAUACAAAAAGCACCAUCUUCUUGGGUAAUCGUCUGCAUCUUGUCUAAGUUUCUUAAUUGGUUCUUUUGCUAAAAGUGGUUUUGAGUUCUUCCUUUUCAACCUUGGCGAUUUGAACUGAACGUUUAAUUAACUUACCCUGUUUUUGAUGUAGCAUUGUUUAUGCACAACAUGUUCUUUGGGCCAUUAUGGGUGACCUUCACAGUUAGUAUUGAGGUGAAAAUAUAACGCUGAACAAAAUUUCUAGAACCCUCGAUGCAACUUAGAUGAAGUGUGAUACUUGUCUCUUUUAGUACUGAGUCACGGUGAGCACCUGUAAGUUUAUCCUUGCUUAUGAUUGGGGCUUGUUUUGCUUCUUAUUCUUUGCUGUUUGUAAUAUGACUAGGAGUGGAUAUAAGAAAGAAAUUUAUAGAGUUCGUGCUGGCCAUAUCUGUGUGUUCUUUGUGCAGUUAAUAACUUAAUAAUGAUACUACUGUAUUUGUCUGUGAAGAUUGUAGACUUUCACCAAUUCAAGAGGAAAAAUAAAAAAAAAAAAACACUUUCCUGCUCUUCUCUUUCCUCUUUUCUUUUCAGUCUUCACUUGUUCUCUUCCUUAACGUAACUCUGCCUGUGUAGUGCUUAGUGUCAUAUCUUUAUAUAUUCGGUUCCUUCCAAGUAGAAUGUUAUUCCAGGUACAGUUGCUUGAUGACAAGCGUAGAACUUGUCUAUAUGAUUUUUCACAAUUUUCUUUCCUGACAUGCUCGUGCAAUAGCUGGGAACAUGUCUGUGCGUGUUGGGGUGUUGGUGGUGACGUGAAGAGGCAGUGUUGUUUACUUGGAGGAUAUAAUAUUGUGAGAAGCUUCUGAUCCCUUUUUUUUUGUUUCUUUUUUCUUCGUGAAGUUGCUGCCAUUCUCGUUUGACCUUUCUUUUUUUUCCCCCCUUUUUCUAUCCAUUUCUAUUUUUUCCAUUGUUUAGUUGCACCAGGUCUCUCCUUUUUGGAGUUUGCUGUCUGCAUUUACUUUUAAGAUUGGCUGCAGUCUAUUUCAUGCCGAUGGGAUGGGCAGAGCUUAUGCUCCUGCACAAAUGGUCUAUAUGAACAAUAAUGAAUUGUUUCUAUUAUUUUAGUCUUUUGGUUUUUUGAUCUCUCAUCCCUGUAUUUGUCUCUAGCUCUUCUCCUUCUCUCUUAGGGCACCUGGCAUAACAGCUGUCAGCAUUGGUCAAUAUCGAUGUUUGGCAUAUCAACGUUCCAUUUUUGCAAGGUACAAGGAUAAGAAAAAUGCCGAUUUAAGUGUUUUUGAAUCAUAAGCUUUUGCAAGAUAGGAGGAUAAGAUAAAUACCUACUACGAGUUUUUGAUUCAUGAGUCUUUAU
Long non-coding RNA from Cornus florida, 2475 nucleotides. RefSeq lists it as uncharacterized. The record is from RefSeq and is a predicted model, not a curated record. NCBI's taxonomy places the organism in Eukaryota, Viridiplantae, Streptophyta, Magnoliopsida, Cornales, Cornaceae. The transcript has 4 exons.